UCCAGACUCCUACGGGAGGCAGCAGUGAGGAAUAUUGGUCAAUGGGCUUACGCCUGAACCAGCCAAGUCGCGUGAGGGAAGACUGCCCUAUGGGUUGUAAACCUCUUUUGCCGGGGGACAAACGGCGGCACGCGUGCCGUCCUGAGGGUACCCGGAGAAAAAGCAUCGGCUAACUCCGUGCCAGCAGCCGCGGUAAUACGGAGGAUGCGAGCGUUAUCCGGAUUUAUUGGGUUUAAAGGGUGCGUAGGCGGGAUGCCAAGUCAGCGGUCAAAUACGGGGGCUCAACCUGCGUCCGCCGUUGAAACUGGCGUUCUUGAGUGGGCGAGAAGUAUGCGGAAUGCGUGGUGUAGCGGUGAAAUGCAUAGAUAUCACGCAGAGCUCCGAUUGCGAAGGCAGCAUACCGGCGCCCAACUGACGCUGAAGCACGAAAGCGUGGGUAUCGAACAGGAUUAGAUACCCGGGUAA
This 465-nucleotide ribosomal RNA is filed under the name uncultured bacterium. RNAcentral's name for it is "bacterial SSU rRNA". It matches the Rfam family "Bacterial small subunit ribosomal RNA", at positions 330 to 793 of the family's 1533-position model. The record is from RNAcentral.